RNAcentral lists this ribosomal RNA (977 nucleotides) under Paralacydonia sp. A ZW-2021. RNAcentral's name for it is "partial large subunit ribosomal RNA". It matches the Rfam family "Eukaryotic large subunit ribosomal RNA", at positions 72 to 846 of the family's 3401-position model. The record is from RNAcentral. Lineage: Eukaryota; Metazoa; Annelida; Polychaeta; Phyllodocida; Paralacydoniidae.
GGAUUCUCCUAGUAACGGCGAGUGAAGAGAGAUGAGCCCAGCACCGAAUCUCCUGCCUUUUGGGUAGCGAGAACUGUGGUGUUUAGGACAGCCUCUGGGGUGACGAUCAGACUUCCGAGUCCUCCUGAUCGGGGCCUUUCCCAUAGCGGGUGUCAGGCCUCUACCGUCGUCUGUCGUCCUCCCUCUGAGCGUCCUUGGAGUCGGGUUGUUUGGGAAUGCAGCCCUAAGUGGGUGGUAAACUCCAUCUAAGGCUAAAUACUGACACGAGUCCGAUAGCGGACAAGUACCGUGAGGGAAAGUUGAAAAGAACUUUGAAGAGAGAGUUCAACAGUACGUGAAACCGUUUAGAGGCAAACGGAUGGGACCGCAAAGUCGGCCCGCGGAAUUCAACCUGGCGAGCGUCGGUGGGGCGGGAUACCGGAUCCGUACGGACCGGCCUCGUUUCCAGCCGGCGUCGACGGGCGCACUUUCUGCGGGGCGAGCGCAACGACCGGUUUUUCGGCAGUCAGAAGCCCCGGUGGAAGGUAGCUUGCCCUUCGGGGUGAGUGUUAUAGACUCCGGUGGCGUUGGCCUGCUGGGAGACCGAGGAACUCCCGCCGUGCCCGCCCUAAGGCUCGGGCCCUUCGUCUUCUCCGUGCGUUCGACAGGGCAGGACUGUUUACAGUGCUGUCCGACUGCGGGCGGUUAAGGCGGGGUGUGCUCCCGAGAUGGCACCCAGGGUCAGUUGCGAAUCGGUCGGCACCCUAUCCGACCCGUCUUGAAACACGGACCAAGGAGUCUAACAUGUGCGCGAGUCAUGGGGUUCUACGAAACCUAAAGGCGCAAUGAAAGUGAAGGGCCGCUUCUCGGUGACCCUAGGUAGGAUCUCGUCCCCCGGGGCGAGCGCACUACCGGCCCGUCUCGUGCUCUCGCAGCAGAGGCGGAGCAAGAGCGUACACGUUGGGACCCGAAAGAUGGUGAACUAUGCCUGAGUAGGA